UGAGCAAUCUGCCCUUCUCAUUGGAAUAAGCGUUGGAAACGACGUCUAAUGCCGAAUACGACCUCCUUUCGCAUGAUCGGGGGUGGAAAGCUCCGGCGGAGGAGGAUGAGCUCGCGGCCUAUCAGCUAGUUGGUGUGGGUAAUGGCCCACCAAGGCGACGACGGGUAGCCGGCCUGAGAGGGUGACCGGCCACACUGGGACUGAGACACGGCCCAGACUCCUACGGGAGGNAG
RNAcentral lists this ribosomal RNA (233 nucleotides) under uncultured bacterium. RNAcentral's name for it is "partial 16S ribosomal RNA". It matches the Rfam family "Bacterial small subunit ribosomal RNA", at positions 118 to 351 of the family's 1533-position model. The record is from RNAcentral.